UUUAUGCAAGGAAUGAUUGACACAGGGCAUGAGAAUUCUCCCAGGGCUGUCAGGAUUCUAAACUGUUAAAGAGACAGUUCCCCAACUGACACACUGGACCUGAGAGUGAAGCUUGAAAGGUGAAGAUCUGAUCUCUCCUGGACUCCCCUGGACAGCUAGCAAGCAGCCUCUUUUAAUUCCACCAUACAAGGUUGAGAGGACAUAUCCAUACACUCUGGUGGACAGAGUGAAACUUGGAGAAACCCUCUUUUCUCUGAGACAACUGAGAACUCAGCUGGAUCCCUGGACCUGAACCACCAAGUAAUCUCUGUGUGUGAGAAAUCUGUUGGACUUAACCUUAGGAAGCUUAGUAUUCAAUUUGAAGCCUUAUUUUAAGGUUGGUGGGAGAGGAUUCUCAGAGUAGAUCAAGUUCUCCAUGCUUCUACUUCACCAUCUUGGCUCUGCCUCCACAAAAUACUUUACUCAAAACAAUUCUGCAAGAUAGUUUUUUUCAGGUGGUUCAACUUAUUUCAACUGACUGGAAUGGUGUUAUCCUACAACUUCAGUAGCUGCAAUCACUACCAAAUGGCCAGUGACUAUGAAAAUAUAAUAUAUAAUGAGAAACUGGAAUCUUUGUAUAAUUCAGAAAUGCCAUCAUCUGAAGAUAGUAAUUUGUUCUGUGAAACCAAGAGUGAUUGUUUAACUGUCAUAGAGCAACUUGCCCGCAAUUGGUCAAACAACUGUUCCUCUGAAAUGGGGGAAACUUUGGAAGCCUUUGUCAAUAGGACUCGCAUUGCUCUGAAGAGUUAUUGUCCAGUCUUCCAGGGAAAUCAGACAAAUAACAUGCAGACAACAAAAAACAACAUGGAAGAAGGAAUUAAAAAAAUGACAUGCCCUGAAAUAGCUAGGAACUUAUUAGAUAUAUGGAGGGAGUACUGGAAAGAAACAGAAAAUCAAUCAACUAGAAGAGGAGGGGGAAAGAAGAGAAGACGAAGUUUGAAUAAAUGGAAUAAAAUCCUGAGAAGAACUUGCAAGGAGAAAAAAUGUGGAUAUAUUAUUAGUUCAGAUUUUUAAAAUUCUUGGAAUGAUAAGAAUAAUAAGAUCAAAUGUGUAUAUUAAUCCUGAAAAAUACAUUUAAUUUUUAUAAAGAUUAUUUAUAUUUUUAAAACA
Molecule: long non-coding RNA, 1149 nt
Filed under: Monodelphis domestica (gray short-tailed opossum)
Lineage: Eukaryota; Metazoa; Chordata; Mammalia; Didelphimorphia; Didelphidae
Description: lncRNA (ENSMODG00000028544.2)
Source: RNAcentral